UAUUGAUAAUUUAUUAUAAUCGAAAUAAUAUAUUUAUUAUUUUUAAAUAUUAACGCCAUCACAAGGUACACGAUAUAAUAUUAACAAAUAAAACAUAAUAUUGUUAAAACUAAAUAUUCAUCACAAAUUAUAAUACGAAUUAUAUACUCAUACCAUAUACAUUAUGUACAGAGAAGUACCAAAGGCAGAUAGUAAAUUUGAACGCACUCACAACCCAAGAUGUAAUGCAAAUUUUUUUGAAAUCAUCACACAUAGUUGGAUUUCAAAUCUAUUAAAGAUAGGACGACUCAGAGAUUUAAAUGAGACGGAUUUGUAUACGACAUUAGACGACCAAAAAUCAUCAACAUUAGGCGAUAAAUUGGAAAAAUAUGGAGAUCAGAGUUAGCCAAUGCGUAUUCGAUGAAUCGAAAGCCAAAAUUGUUGAGAGCUUUGCUACGAAUGUUUGGUGCUAAAUUAAUGCUAUACGGAUUAAUGUAUUGCAUAACUGAAAUUAUUUUCAAUAUGUCUCAACCUAUAUUAAUUGGUGAACUAUUAGCAUAUUUCAAUCCUAAUCAUUCAAAAGAUACUGAUAUAAAAUAUGCAUACCUAUGUUCAUCAGGUAUAGUAUUCAGCAUAUUCAUGACAAUUAUCUUUUACUAUUACACAUAUGAAGAAACCAUGAACGAAACAAUGAAUGUGCGAGUUGCUUGCUGUUCUUUAAUCUACAGAAAGGUAAACAUACAAAUAUUCUUUAAAUUAUAUGUAAAUAUAUUAAUUUUAAUAUUUGAUACAACAAUAUUAUAUAUAUACAUACAUAUUACAUAU
Molecule: long non-coding RNA, 804 nt
Organism: Rhopalosiphum padi (bird cherry-oat aphid)
Lineage: Eukaryota; Metazoa; Arthropoda; Insecta; Hemiptera; Aphididae
Exons: 5
Source: RefSeq, a predicted model, not a curated record